GUCAGAUCUUCAAUAUUUUGAACGCGUUGGAAAGGUCUUUCAAAUACCUUUUAAACAAUAUAUAGCAUGACGAGUUUUCUUACAAAAGCCACCCUUUUUACAAUAUUUGAAACUCUAGCCAAACGGUCCAAAUCGGUUCAGCCAGUCCGGAGAUAAUCGUGUGCAUAUUUUUCGGUGCACACGCACAGACAUUUGUUCAGAAUUUGAUUCUGAGUCGAUAGGUAUACGUGAAAGUGUGUCUACGAGGUCAAAUAAAGAAGUUCAUUUUUCGAGUGAUUAUAUAGCCUUUCCUCAUUGAGGUGAGGAAGGCAAAAACUACAUUUAUGACCAAAAUAUAUUUUUUUAAACAACUGUUGUCAAACGAACGGGGUCACUUUUUAGUUUGACACCCCUUUUAUUUACACGGAGCUCACACACACUACCAAACGUUUGUUUUGAAAGUGUGCGUGAGCGCCGUGUAAAAAGUGACAGUUCGUCACUUUUUAGUUCGACUUUGACCAACCAACGUUGAACCCCGUAAAAAAGUGUCCAACGAAAAAGUGACCAACCACCGGGGGUUGAGUGUAUUUACCAAACUAGUUUGCAACGUGAUUUUUUUACGCAGGAUUUAUGAUUUAUGGGUCAUUUCACGUCAACUGUACACAAAAAAGUACACAUUCGAAUUCGACUUUUUCUGAUCAAGCUCAAAUUUGGUGGAGCUAUUGAUACAAUCAAAACAUGUACGAAUCCCGAUUUUGAACCAAAUUAGAUCACCCUUGAGUCAGGGGUACUAAAAAAGAUUCAAAAAGCAAAAACUGAAAAUUUUUGGACCUUUUCAUAAAAACCCAGAUUUGUAACUUCAACUUAAAGUGAUAACAGAUUUUCGUUAAUUUAUGUAACAAAUCUGCAUGGACAAAUUGUACGAAAAUUUGUAUGGACAGAUAAAUUAGGUUUUUUUUUGCCACUGAGAAGACCCCUCAGUUUUAGCCAAAUAUGUCAAUCAACUCAUCCACUUUAACGACCCGCAGGUCUUUUGUGGUCGUGGUCACUAUUGCAAGUUUCUGCUCAAACCUAGGAGUCCAAAGGUUUAAAUGGAGGGAGACAAAUAUGUACAACAUGAAAAACUCAUGAAAUCGGAUAAUUUCAUGAAUAAUAAUCGGUUGAGUUUUCAAAAAGCCGUAAGAGCCACUGUGACCUCUGACACUAAUUUUCGUUUUUCUCGAAAAUGAAACAAAAUUUAAUUUAUUUCAAGUAUGGGGCACUUGAAGGACGUGUAGAUGAACAAUUUCGAGCAUUUUUGAUAUAAGUUUUUCGUAAGUAGGUCGAAUACCGAUGCAAAAAGGACUUUGUUUACCAAUGGCACUUACGGCUUUUUGAAAACUAAUCCGAGAAUUUCUCAUAUGGAUUAUACAAAGGUAAAUAAACAAAAAUCAGGGUAACUUUUGUAGUUAUUUCAUUAAUGUUUAUUUUUCUGUCAUCCACAGAUUGUUACAUCACCCUUUUUUUAAUGAUUAUGCGAUAAGUUUUAAAUCAGCUCUGAAAGCAAAUUUCUACCGCCCAACUCUUACUUAUAAAUCUCGUUCAUAAUAUCUAAUGUAAAAUUUUGUAUCAUUUUUAUUUUUGUAUCAAAUAAACACAACCAACACAGGGUGUGUUCAUCUUCAACAUCGUGCAGUGGACCCCGGUCAAGUACCUCGGCUACUCGUACCCGCUGUGGGCGCACGCGUUCGGCUGGUUCACCGCCCUGUCCUCGAUGCUGUGCAUCCCCGGCUACAUGAUCUGGCUGUGGAGAAACACCCCCGGCGAUAAGGCCAACAAAAUCCGACUGAUUGUCAGAAUCGAGGACAGCGUCGCCCAGCUGCGGGAGAGAAUGCAA
This is a long non-coding RNA of Culex pipiens pallens (northern house mosquito), 1855 nucleotides long. RefSeq lists it as uncharacterized. The transcript is spliced from 2 exons. The record is from RefSeq and is a predicted model, not a curated record. Lineage: Eukaryota; Metazoa; Arthropoda; Insecta; Diptera; Culicidae.